Molecule: ribosomal RNA, 404 nt
Filed under: uncultured bacterium
Lineage: Bacteria
Description: bacterial SSU rRNA
Rfam family: Bacterial small subunit ribosomal RNA
Source: RNAcentral
UGAGGAAUUUUCCGCAAUGGGCGAAAGCCUGACGGAGCGACGCCGUGUGUGCGAUGAAGUCUUUCGGGAUGUAAAGCACUGUCAGAGGGGAAGAUAUUGACGGUACCCUCAGAGGAAGCCCCGGCUAACUACGUGCCAGCAGCCGCGGUAAUACGUAGGGGGCGAGCGUUGUCCGGAAUUAUUGGGCGUAAAGCGCGAGUAGGUGGUAGCUUAAGUCGGAUGUAAAAUUUAUGGGCUCAACCCAUAAAAGUCAUCCGAUACUGGGUUGCUAGAGAGAGUCAGAGGGAAGUGGAACUUCCGGUGUAGCGGUGAAAUGCGUAGAUAUCGGAAGGAACACCAGUGGCGAAGGCGACUUCCUGGGACUCUUCUGACGCUGAAUCGCGAAAGCUAGGGGAGCAAACGGG